CACCGGAGCCCACAAGUGGGGAUCACGAUUAUUGGGUCUAAAGCGUCCGUAGCUGUUUGAGAAAGUCUCUUGUGAAAUUGUUCGGCUUAACCGAGCAGCGCGCAAGAGAUACUCCUCGAAUAGGGACCGGGAGGAGACAGAGGUAUACCUUGGGGAGCGGUAAAAUGCUAUAAUCCUUGGUGGACCACCAAUAGCGAAGGCAUCUGUCUAGAACGGGUCCGACGGUCAGGGACGAAAGCUGGGGGAGCAAAAGGGAUUAGAUACCCGUGUAGU
RNAcentral lists this ribosomal RNA (273 nucleotides) under uncultured bacterium. Its description in RNAcentral is "partial 16S ribosomal RNA". It matches the Rfam family "Archaeal small subunit ribosomal RNA", at positions 474 to 745 of the family's 1478-position model. The record is from RNAcentral.